CUGGCGGCGUGCUUAACACAUGCAAGUCGAACGAGAAUCUAUGGAAAGAGGAUUCGUCCAAUUGAAAUAGAGGACAGUGGCGGACGGGUGAGUAACGCGUGAGGAACCUGCCUUUCAGAGGGGGACAACAGUUGGAAACGACUGCUAAUACCGCAUAACGCGUAGAGGUCGCAUGGCCUUUACGCCAAAGAUUUAUCGCUGAAAGAUGGCCUCGCGUCUGAUUAGCUAGUUGGUGAGGUAACGGCCCACCAAGGCGACGAUCAGUAGCCGGACUGAGAGGUUGAACGGCCACAUUGGGACUGAGAUACGGCCCAGACUCCUACGGGAGGCAGCAGUGGGGAAUAUUGGGCAAUGGGCGCAAGCCUGACCCAGCAACGCCGCGUGAAGGAAGAAGGCUUUCGGGUUGUAAACUUCUUUUGUCAGGGACGAGCAGAAGACGGUACCUGACGAAUAAGCCACGGCUAACUACGUG
RNAcentral lists this ribosomal RNA (472 nucleotides) under uncultured bacterium. RNAcentral describes it as "bacterial SSU rRNA". It matches the Rfam family "Bacterial small subunit ribosomal RNA", at positions 36 to 507 of the family's 1533-position model. The record is from RNAcentral.